CAAAUCUUGCUCCUCCUGGGGCAUCUGCCCCUGUUUCUCAACUGGGGGGGGGUAAAAAAAAUAAGGGGGGGCAAUUAGUGGUCCUCGUGGGGCAGAUUUUUGGGGUCCCUUCCUCCUUUUCAAACCCGUUUUUUGGGGUUUUCUUCCUCCCACCAAACCCCAAUUUUUGGGGUCCCCUCCUCCUUCUAGACCCAAAUUUUUGGGGUCUUUUCCUCCUUUUACACCCACACUUUUGUGGUUUUCUCCUUUUAUACCCAGAUUUUUGGGGUCCCUUCCUCCUUUUUAAACCCACAUUUUUGGGAUCCCUUCUUCCUUUUUAAACACAAAUUUUUGGGGUCCCUGUUCCUCUUUUUCAACUCCCUUUUUUGGGGGUUCCCCAACUCCUUUUCCACACGGAUUUUUUGGGAUCCGUUCCUCCUUUCCCACCCAGAUUUUUCAGGGACCCCUUCCUCUUUUCCCACCCAGAUUUUUCGGGGUCCCUUCCUCCUUUUCAAACCCGUUUUUUGGGGUUUUCUCCCUCCUUCCAAACCCCAGUUUUUGGGGUCCCCUCCUCCUUCUAGACCCAAAUUUUUGGGGGUCUUUUCCUCCUUUUACACCCACACUUUUGGGGUUUUCUCCUUUUAUACCCAGAUUUUUCAGGGACCCCUUCCUCCUUUCCCACCCAGAUUUUUCGGGGACCCCUUCCUCCUUUUCCACACAGAUUUUUUGGGGUCCCUUCCUCUUUUUACACCCACAUUUUUGGCCUCCCUCCUUUUUAAACCCACAUUUUUAGGACCCCUUCCUCCUUUCCCACCCAGAUUUUUUGGGGUUCCCCCCCCCCCAAAUCCCGGUACCUAUGGGGUCCCCGCAGGCGUCGCAGUACUCGGCGUGCCGCGCCUGGUAGCAGCGGCAGCAGUAGGGCCGCCCGCGCCGCAUCACGUAGCGCCGCCCGCCCAGCGGCGCCUCGCACUCGAAGCAGCAGAAGUGGCGCACGUGCCAGUGCCGGCCCUCGGCCUCCGUGCACUGCGGGGCGAAAAUGAUCUGAAACGGGGAAAAAAGAGAGAAAAAAUGUUAGUUUGGGGGCAAAGAGUGAGUUUUGGGGGAAAAAACCUGAAGUUUGGGGGAAAAAAUAGCAAUUUUGGGGGGAAAAAGUCUAUCUUAGUAGGGAAAUGUCAAUUUUAGGAGGGAGAUAUCAGUUUCAGCAGAAAAAAUAUUAAGUUUGGGGGGGGAAAAAGGUCGACUUUGGGGGAAAAAGGUCGAAAGAAAGUCAUUUUUUAGGGAAAAACUCAAUUUUAGGGAAAAAAAGUAAAUGUAGGGGUAAAAAUUUCAGGGAAAAAAUGUCAAUUCUGUUUUUUGUAUAAAGGAAAAGGGGAGAAUAAAGUCAUUUGUUUAUUUAAUAAAGGAACA
RNAcentral lists this long non-coding RNA (1386 nucleotides) under Anas platyrhynchos platyrhynchos (common mallard). RNAcentral describes it as "lncRNA (ENSAPLG00000019868.1)". The record is from RNAcentral. Lineage: Eukaryota; Metazoa; Chordata; Aves; Anseriformes; Anatidae.